GAUGAACGCUGGCGGCGUGCCUAAUACAUGCAAGUCGAGCGAACAGACGAGGAGCUUGCUCCUCUGACGUUAGCGGCGGACGGGUGAGUAACACGUGGAUAACCUACCUAUAAGACUGGGAUAACUUUGGGAAACCGGAGCUAAUACCGGAUAAUAUAUUGAACCGCAUGGUUCAAUAGUGAAAGACGGUUUUGCUGUCACUUAUAGAGGGAUCCGCGCCGCAUUAGCUAGUUGGUAAGGUAACGGCUUACCAAGGCGACGAUGCGUAGCCGACCUGAGAGGGUGAUCGGCCACACUGGAGGUGAGACACGGUCCAGACUCCUACGGGAGGCAGCAGUAGGGAAUCUUCCGCAAUGGGCGAAAGCCUGACGGAGCAACGCCGCGUGAGUGAUGAAGGUCUUCGGAUCGUAAAACUCUGUUAUUAGGGAAGAACAAAUGUGUAAGUAACUAUGCACGUAUUGACGGUACCUAAUCAGAAAGCCACGGCUAACUACGUG
RNAcentral lists this ribosomal RNA (497 nucleotides) under uncultured bacterium. RNAcentral's name for it is "partial 16S ribosomal RNA". It matches the Rfam family "Bacterial small subunit ribosomal RNA", at positions 28 to 507 of the family's 1533-position model. The record is from RNAcentral.